Molecule: small RNA, 190 nt
Filed under: Helianthus annuus (common sunflower)
Lineage: Eukaryota; Viridiplantae; Streptophyta; Magnoliopsida; Asterales; Asteraceae
Description: hypothetical non coding rna
Source: RNAcentral
CGUCGUCGUCGUCGUCGUCGUCGUCGUCGUCGUCGUCGUCGUCGUCGUCGUCGUCGUCGUCGUCGUCGUCGUCGUCGUCGUCGUCGUCGUCGUCGUCGUCGUCGUCGUCGUCGUCGUCGUCGUCGUCGUCGUCGUCGUCGUCGUCGUCGUCGUCGUCGUCGUCGUCGUCGUCGUCGUCGUCGUCGUCGUC